RNAcentral lists this microRNA precursor (99 nucleotides) under Bombyx mori (domestic silkworm). Lineage: Eukaryota; Metazoa; Arthropoda; Insecta; Lepidoptera; Bombycidae. The record is from RNAcentral.
UGUGAUAAUCUCUGUACCACAAUCAUCAUGCACCCAGUGAUAGAAUGUUACACAUAUCAACUGAGAGUGUGAUGACUGUAUUAGAGAGAAAUAGAAGAG